Molecule: ribosomal RNA, 301 nt
Filed under: uncultured bacterium
Lineage: Bacteria
Description: partial 16S ribosomal RNA
Rfam family: Bacterial small subunit ribosomal RNA
Source: RNAcentral
CAGCCGCCGCGGUAAAACGUAGGGUGCGAGCGUUAAUCGGAAUUACUGGGCGUAAAGCGUGCGCAGGCGGUCGUGUAAGACAGGUGUGAAAUCCCCGGGCUUAACCUGGGAACUGCGCUUGUGACUGCACAGCUAGAGUAUGGCAGAGGGGGGUGGAAUUCCACGUGUAGCAGUGAAAUGCGUAGAGAUGUGGAGGAACACCGAUGGCGAGGGCAGCCCCCUGGGCCAAUACUGACGCUCAUGCACGAAAGCGUGGGGAGCGAACAGGAUUAGAUACCCCUGUAGUCCCUGUCUCUUAUAC